Molecule: transfer RNA, 76 nt
Filed under: Thermaerobacter sp.
Lineage: Bacteria; Bacillati; Bacillota; Clostridia; Eubacteriales; Clostridiales Family XVII. Incertae Sedis
Also listed under: 1 other name
Description: tRNA-Thr
Rfam family: tRNA
About the family: Transfer RNA (tRNA) molecules are approximately 80 nucleotides in length.
Source: RNAcentral
GCUGGCGUAGCUCAAUUGGCAGAGCAACUGAUUUGUAAUCAGUAGGUUGCGGGUUCGAGUCCCAUCGCCAGCUCCA